GUUCACAGUCGACGGGGAGGUUUGGCACCUCGAUGUCGGCUCAUCGCAUCCUGGGGCUGUAGUCGGUCCCAAGGGUUGGGCUGUUCGCCCAUUAAAGCGGUACGCGAGCUGGGUUCAGAACGUCGUGAGACAGUUCGGUCCCUAUCCGUCGUGGGCGUAGGAAAUUUGAGAGGAGCUGUCCUUAGUACGAGAGGACCGGGAUGGACAUACCUCUGGUGUACCAGUUGUCGUGCCAACGGCAUAGCUGGGUAGCUAUGUAUGGACGGGAUAAGUGCUGAAAGCAUCUAAGCAUGAAGCCCCCCUCAAGAUGAGAUUUCCCAACUUCGGUUAUAAGAUCCCUCAAAGAUGAUGAGGUUAAUAGGUUCGAGGUGGAAGCGUAGCGAUACGUGGAGCUGACGAAUACUAAUCGAUCGAAGACUUAAUCAA
Molecule: ribosomal RNA, 426 nt
Filed under: Staphylococcus agnetis
Lineage: Bacteria; Bacillati; Bacillota; Bacilli; Caryophanales; Staphylococcaceae
Description: bacterial LSU rRNA
Rfam family: Bacterial large subunit ribosomal RNA
Source: RNAcentral